GCUUACGGCCAUACCACGCUGUCUGCGCCCGAUCUUGGAAGCUAAGCAGCGUUGGGCCUGAUUAGUACUUGGAUGGGAGACCGCCUGGGAAUACCAGGUGCUGUAAGCU
Molecule: ribosomal RNA, 109 nt
Filed under: Sinocyclocheilus anshuiensis
Lineage: Eukaryota; Metazoa; Chordata; Actinopteri; Cypriniformes; Cyprinidae
Source: RNAcentral